CGCCAGCUUAUUCCGCAGCACUUCACAAUAAGAGGGGAAUUUACCAAAUGAGACUAAAUGUGUAACCGCUGGUUCCCUUAUUUACCACUAUAAUGUCUUAAAGCAUAGAACUUAGUAGGGCUAACCAUACAGAUAUCUUAGCCAUAAUUUUAUAUAGUGUAAGAGAUCCUCUAUUUAACAUAUAUAAAUAAUUGAGAAUACAAUAUAAAAUAAGGAUUGUCUUGGAAGCAA
Non-coding RNA from Pelobates cultripes (western spadefoot toad), 231 nucleotides. The record is from the annotation of a GenBank genome assembly. Lineage: Eukaryota; Metazoa; Chordata; Amphibia; Anura; Pelobatidae.